GACGAACGCUGGCGGCGUGCUUAACACAUGCAAGUCGAACGGAAAGGCCCCUUUGGGGGUACUCGAGUGGCGAACGGGUGAGUAACACGUGAGUAACCUGCCCUUGACUUCGGGAUAACUUCAGGAAACUGGGGCUAAUACCGGAUAGGAAUCCUUGCUGCAUGGUGGGGGUUGGAAAGCUUCGGCGGUUUUGGAUGGACUCGCGGCUUAUCAGCUUGUUGGUGGGGUAGUGGCUUACCAAGGCUUUGACGGGUAGCCGGCCUUAGAGGGGGACCGGCCACAUUGGGACUGGGAUACGGCCCAGACUCCUACGGGAGGCAGCAGUGGGGAAUAUUGCACAAUGGGCGGAAGCCUGAUGCAGCAACGCCGCGUGCGGGAUGACGGCCUUCGGGUUGUAAACCGCUUUCAGCAGGGGCGAAGCUUGUGGUGACGGUACCUGCAGAAGAAGCACCGGCUAACUACGUG
Molecule: ribosomal RNA, 465 nt
Filed under: uncultured bacterium
Lineage: Bacteria
Description: partial 16S ribosomal RNA
Rfam family: Bacterial small subunit ribosomal RNA
Source: RNAcentral